Molecule: ribosomal RNA, 316 nt
Filed under: uncultured bacterium
Lineage: Bacteria
Description: bacterial SSU rRNA
Rfam family: Bacterial small subunit ribosomal RNA
Source: RNAcentral
GACGAACGCUGGCGGCGUGCCUAAUACAUGCAAGUCGAGCGGAUCGGAGGGAGCUUGCUCCCGAUGAUUAGCGGCGGACGGGUGAGUAACACGUGGGCAACCUGCCUAUAAGACUGGGAUAACUUCGGGAAACCGGAGCUAAUACCGGAUAAUGCUUUUGAACACAUGUUUGAAAGCUGAAAGAUGGUUUCGGCUAUCACUUAUAGAUGGGCCCGCGGCGCAUUAGCUAGUUGGUGAGGUAACGGCUCACCAAGGCGACGAUGGGUAACCGGCCUGAGAGGGUGAACGGUCACAUUGGAACUGAGACACGGUCCAA